AGAACGAACGCUGGCGGCGUGGAUAAGACAUGCAAGUCGAACGCGAUUUAUCAGGUUAGCAAUAACUUGGUAAAUUGAGUGGCGAAAGGGUGCGUAACACGUGGGAAUUUACCAAGAAGUGGGGAAUAGCUCGACGAAAGUCGAAUUAAUACCGCAUACGAUCGCAAGAUCAAAGCCGGGGACCGCAAGGCCUGGCGCUUUUUGAGAAGCCCGCGGCCCAUCAGCUAGUUGGCGGGGUAACGGCCCACCAAGGCUAUGACGGGUAGCUGGUCUGAGAGGACGACCAGCCACACUGGAACUGAGACACGGUCCAGACACCUACGGGUGGCAGCAGUCGAGAAUUUUUCACAAUGGACGAAAGUCUGAUGGAGCGACGCCGCGUGGAGGAUGAAGGUUUCGGAUUGUAAACUCCUGUCACUGCAGAACAGGAUGUGUUUAUGAAUAGUAAAUGCAUUUGAUGGUAUGGCGGAGAGGAAGGGACGGCGUAACUCGUGCG
This 496-nucleotide ribosomal RNA is filed under the name uncultured bacterium. RNAcentral describes it as "SSU rRNA". It matches the Rfam family "Bacterial small subunit ribosomal RNA", at positions 26 to 509 of the family's 1533-position model. The record is from RNAcentral.